This 468-nucleotide ribosomal RNA is filed under the name uncultured bacterium. RNAcentral's name for it is "partial 16S ribosomal RNA". It matches the Rfam family "Bacterial small subunit ribosomal RNA", at positions 28 to 507 of the family's 1533-position model. The record is from RNAcentral.
GACGAACGCUGGCGGCGUGCUUAACACAUGCAAGUCGAACGGAAAGGCCCUGCUUUUGUGGGGUGCUCGAGUGGUGAACGGGUGAGUAACACGUGAGUAACCUGCCCUUGACUUUGGGAUAACUUCAGGAAACUGGGGCUAAUACCGGAUAGGAGCUCCUGCUGCAUGGUGGGGGUUGGAAAGUUUCGGCGGUUGGGGAUGGACUCGCGGCUUAUCAGCUUGUUGGUGGGGUAGUGGCUUACCAAGGCUUUGACGGGUAGCCGGCCUGAGAGGGUGACCGGCCACAUUGGGACUGAGAUACGGCCCAGACUCCUACGGGAGGCAGCAGUGGGGAAUAUUGCACAAUGGGCGGAAGCCUGAUGCAGCAAUGCCGCGUGCGGGAUGACGGCCUUCGGGUUGUAAACCGCUUUCGCCUGUGACGAAGCGUGAGUGACGGUAAUGGGUAAAGAAGCACCGGCUAACUACGUG